CCCCUCUCAGGGUCGCACCUAGAGACUUUCCAGUACUCUCCCAGUCUCGACUUCGGGAGGGAGAAUCAAGCAGAAACCUACCCAUUCCAUUCCUAGCUUGGGUAGUGGCUAGCGAGUGGAAGACAAUCUGCUAUCAAG
This 138-nucleotide small nucleolar RNA is filed under the name Ornithorhynchus anatinus (platypus). Lineage: Eukaryota; Metazoa; Chordata; Mammalia; Monotremata; Ornithorhynchidae. The record is from RNAcentral.